Long non-coding RNA from Oryzias melastigma (Indian medaka), 2939 nucleotides. RefSeq lists it as uncharacterized. The record is from RefSeq and is a predicted model, not a curated record. Lineage: Eukaryota; Metazoa; Chordata; Actinopteri; Beloniformes; Adrianichthyidae. The transcript has 3 exons.
CCUGGCAACCCUGAAGGUGUGACGUCACGAGCUGCUACAAGCGGGCUCACUCCAUUUAAACAAAACUACUUCGGGGGGAGUUUUCGUAUAACUACGUGUGAAAAUUCAAUAUUUCACUAAAAUAGUUACAUUUACGAUAUAUUUUUUACAUUUUUAAAUUUAUAUAUUACGACAUUUUUAACAGUUUCCCGCUGCUAGCGUCUGUAUGCUAACGCUAGCUAGCUUGUGUUUGCUAGCGAGGUCUAGUUCGACGGGAGACAGAAGAACGGCGGGUCGUUCCUCGAAAACGUUCCAAACUUUAGGAGGCGGGGCUUGAGCUCAUUUCCUGUCAGAGUUAACGAGGUGAGUCGUUUUGUCGGCCGAUUGGUGGUUGUGUUUUGGGGUCCUCACACUUUGUGCAGCCUUUGCCGAUAAACCAGCAGUGACACGACGGCCACCAUCAUUCCGAUGAGGAACAUUCCAGCGCUCAGGCCCUCCACCACGCCACCUAGAGGCUCUGAUGGAGAUGUGCGUUAGGCCACCGACAACUGAACCCGUUCUGGAGGUGGAAGGUUACGGCUCUCACCGGCAUGAGUCCUCAACGGCGCGGACAGGUACGUGUCCGAGAAGAGCGGCUGAGCGACCUCCCUGUGGUUCUGGUCAAACAGUUCGGUGAAGGCUCGCACGCUCAGCCUGGGCGGACACACAGAAACGGUCAGACAGGGUCGGGCUCUGCGGUCCUCAGCACUGCAGCCGUCGGUAGUAGAUUCCUUCACCUGUAGGAGGUCUUUGGUCUCAGCGGACCAUCGCAGAAUUCACCGUAGCUGUCGCUCAGGUAGAGGUCGUCGUCAUGGUAACGGUCGCAGGCUCCGCCUAGCCGGUCCCCUCCUGCACCCAGGUGCAACUCCACCACCUCAUUGGGUCAAUUUUUUUACCCAAACAGUUAUUUUCCGUCAGAGAAUAAAACAACAUUUAGUUGAAAAGAGUGAAAUCGGUUUGAGAGGUUUUCUAUGAAGGUGUGUAGAUCAUCUACCUGUCCCGCUGUGGAGUCGGCGUCCAGUGGACAGCGGCUCUGGAAGUAGGAGGUCUGAUACGCGCUGAUGGAGGAGUUGCUGAUGUAGUCGCGGUAGGAGGGCAGAGGGUGGCGCUGCUCCGGCUGCAGCACUUCGGAGGCUGUUGGAGGAAACAGAUGGAGGUUCUGGUUCCUUCUGUUCAUGAGUGAAACCUUCAAGUUAAAGCGUUAAACGAGCACAUUGCUUUGUUAUCUUUGUGGAGCAAAAGUACGUGAGAUUUCAUAAAUAUUUCAUUAUAUGAAAAUCACAGAAAAAAUCAUCACAUUUUGCUAUAAGUUUUGAAAAACAGUUUUUUCAUUUACGUUUUUUUCCUGCAAACAUUUUUUUUUUUAUUCAAUUCUUUGGCUAAUUUUUUUAUUGUUUUCUAGAUUCCCCUUGGUUGUGUGAGUCUCUUUAGAUCACUUUUGUGUGUUUGAAUAUUUCAUGUGUGUGAGGCUCCAUACUGUCGGACUCGGCCACGAUCACGGUGAAGUAUCGGAUGGCGCCGUUGGAGUCGCUGAACCAAGAACAGUUGAAGCGGAACAGGAUGGAGGAGGACGUCACUUUGGAGGACUUUUCAUUGACCCGCACGGUGGGGGGCGGGACCGGAGGACCUGUGGAGAACAUCAUUGGAUAUAGUGGUUUGUCCAGAUCAAUCUGAAUGACUCACGAUCGAUCAUGGUGACGGUGGUGUGGGUCGUCGGUGGGCUCGUCUGCCCGGCUGAAGACACUCUGACGGUCACAGAGUAUUUCCUGAAGGCCUCCAGAUUUCCCAGCGUUACCGCGGUGACGCCCCGCGCCAGCUUCAGGACCGACACCAGACUCCCGUCGUCGUAGCGACGGCUCUCCACCUCAUAGGAGUCGAAGUCGGCAGCAGGAGCAGUCCAGGAGCAGGAGAGGGAGGAGGAGGAGAGGGGCAAGCAGUGGAGGGACUUCAGAGGAGUCGGACCUGGAGGAAGAGGAGGGAGGAAGGUUUGACUGACCCUAUAUGGAGCCAAAUCGGGACCAAAAUCUGAGAAUUUCAGCUUCAAAAUGUUUUUCCUUUUUUUCAGUGUCAACAUUUUUUUUUCCAAAUUUUGCAUCUGAAAAUUUUAGGCUUAAAAACUUUUGACCCUGUUCUGGCAUGUGGGGGGCGGGGCUAACACGAAGGACCAAUCAAAAUCGAUGAGGGUGGUAACCUCAGUCCUGAAACUUAAAAAAAAGAAAAUUUGAAGCUGAAAAUAAUUACAUUUAUAUUAGAGUUACGGAAUAUUUCAGAACUUUUUUUUUUUUUUUUUUUAUCUUAACACCAAUACUUCAGCUUGAAGUUGUUUUAUUUGAGUUUCAAAUCUUUAUGGCCCUAAUUUGGCUCCAUAGUUCUACUGCUUUAAUCUGUUUUUUUUUUAUGGAAACAGUUUCUCUUUAUUCAGUUGUUUGCUUGUGGGUUUACAGUAGAAUGAUGCUGACUCCAGGAAUCAGUUUAAACUCUUCUCAUCCUCUGUAGCUCGUUUCCAGCAUUGGUUUAAAUCAAUCCUGUUCUGGUUUUUACGAUACUCAUAAUGUGUUGACCUAAUCUCCGCUCAGAUAGGAACAAACUGGGUCACAUUCAAAGUCACUGAAUGUAUUUAUAUUCCUUUUGAUGAUCAGAUUUGAUCUGUGCAUCCAAAACAUCACAGACAGACGGACCCUGAUGGAAAAUGGAUCCUCCACUGGAGAUUUAACCUAAAAAUUCUCCUCUUUGCUCUGCUGCCAUCUGGUGGAUAGAAACAGCAGCUGAACAACAGCUGCGAGCCUGGAAUUAGUUUAUAUUAAGAUGUUUAUUUUAAAAAGUCAAAUAUAGACUUCAAAAAAGGAAAAAUUUGUGUAGUUUUACUGUUAGCUGAGCUAUAAUAAAUGAUGCUAAAUUAAAAUAGAGCCUUUUUAAUCAAA